AUGGAUCCGACCCGGACCCGGAAAGUCCCUCCGAAACCCGACCUCUACUCCACCGUAGUCGUCCACGGCGACGACGAAUCCGCCUCCGAUUCCGACCGCCGCGCCAAGUCACCAACGGACCCGGAACCCGACCCGUACGCCACGUUCGUCUACAAGAACAAUGCUCACGACGACGACGAUGAUGACGACGACGACGACGACGCCUCCCUCCCUCCGCUCCUCAAGCGCCUUCCCAAGGACUUCGGCGGCGGCGCCUCCCUCAAUUACUUCGACGACGAGGACGACACCGCCGGCGAUUUCGGGACCAUGAUCGUCCGCAAUCGGACCACGCGGAGGUCACGUGACUGGGGGAGCCGUGCGGCCGAGGAGGAGGAGGACGACGACGGCGGAGAUGCGUUCUCGACGUUUGUGAUGAGGCCGAGUGAGAGAGAGUCGUCGCUGACCGGGACGGUGAGGAGGAACAGCGCCGGCGGGAAUUCUACUAUGAGCAGAGCCGUCGCGAGUAUGCAGGCCUCCGGCGACGGGAUGGGGAAGCAGAGGAAGAGCAGCGCCGCCUCGUCGCAGAACGAGGAGGCUCGCCAGAAUAUGAAAAUGUCGACCAGUUCCAUACCGGAAAGCGUCACCAGAGAAGAUCCGACUACGAAGUACGAGCUGCUCAAUGAGCUCGGGAAGGGGUCUUAUGGUGCGGUUUAUAAAGCAAGGGACUUGAAGACUUCCGAGAUGGUGGCGAUCAAAGUCAUUUCAUUAUCUCAAGGGGAGGAGGGGUAUGAAGAGAUUUGCGGUGAAAUCGAGAUGCUGCAGCAAUGCAGUCAUCCGAAUGUUGUUCGGUACUUGGGGAGCUACCAAGGAGAAGAGUAUCUUUGGAUUGUGAUGGAGUAUUGUGGAGGUGGAAGUGUUGCUGACUUGAUGAAUGUUACCGAGGAUGCUUUGGAGGAGUAUCAAAUAGCGUACAUUUGCAGGGAAGCAUUGAAGGGCCUUGCUUAUUUGCACUCGAUUUUCAAGGUCCACAGAGAUAUUAAGGGUGGUAAUAUUCUGUUAACUGAACAAGGAGACGUCAAGUUGGGUGAUUUUGGGGUUGCAGCACAGCUUACAAGGACCAUGUCAAAGCGCAAUACGUUCAUUGGGACUCCACAUUGGAUGGCUCCCGAAGUAAUUCAGGAAAGUCGUUAUGAUGGAAAGGUGGAUGUAUGGGCUCUUGGUGUUUCUGCAAUUGAAAUGGCUGAGGGACUUCCUCCAAGAUCUGCAGUGCAUCCAAUGAGGGUUCUAUUCAUGAUAUCCCUUGAGCCAGCUCCAAUGCUUGAGGAUAAAGAAAAAUGGUCUCUCGUGUUUCAUGAUUUUGUGGCGAAGUGCCUGACAAAAGAACCACGUUUACGCCCUACUGCAGCUGAGAUGUUGAAGCACAAAUUCAUUGAAAAAUGCAAAUGUGGUCCCUCUGCAAUGGUGCCUAGGAUUGAGAAGGCCAGGCAAAUCAGGACCUCUAUGGCUUUGCAAGCACAAAAUGAUGCUCCAGAUGAAUUGGAAGAUGAUGGAGCUCCCAAAGUGAAUGAAGAUUAUGGAGAUACUGUUCCUUCAAGGCCUCUGGGGGCAAAUGAAGUGCCUACAGGCAGCACAUUGAUGAAGCAGCACAUGUCUGGUAUUGGGGAGCAUGCAGAGGAAGGUAAUUUUGGCACCGUAAUAGUUCAUGGUGGAGAUGAAAGAGAUGUGACUGGUACUCGGACACAAAUUUUUGAUUCCAAAGAACAUUCAUCUGCUUCUGGACUUGGUCUUUCCACUGCUGGCGUAGGUAAAUCAAGCGAAGUCAGGUUGGGAGGUGAAAAUAACACUUCGGUUGGAGUACCAAAUACAGUUACACAGACGAAACAUGCAUUUUCUCUAUCACCUUUUAGCUCUCCUGAGCCGAACUUGAGAAAAAGCAGAUCUCAGCCACAGGUCGGAAGUCUAACUAUAAGUGGUGGCACAGUGAAGAAUGAAACUGUCAGCCGGAAAGCUUUUGCAGUGCAAGAUAAGCUUUGGGCCAUUUAUGCAGCUGGUAAUACAGUACCUAUUCCAUUUUUGAGGGCGACAGAUAUAUCCCCCAUUGCUCUCUUAUCAGAUAAUGUUCUCGGAGGCAUGCAGCGAGAUAAUAGUGGAGCCGGUGCUAUAGAUGCACUACAGGAGCUUUUUACUGGUGAUGCACAGUCAAAAAAGGGCGAAGAGGACAAAAUGAGAUUCCCCUUCCUCCAAGUGUUUACAAAAGACUCCAUUCAAGUCCAACUCUAUUGAAUCUCACACAAGCUUUAGCCUACCACAAGAUGUGCUACGAAGAUAUGCCUCUCCAAGAAUUGCAAGCAACUCAGGAACAACAGACCAUUCAAAAUCUUUGCGAUACAUUAAGAACCAUUCUUCGUUUGUAGCCAUAUAUAUUCUGACAAUUUGUAACUUUGUUUCUUUCAUCAAUGGCAGUGGUAUAGUUGAGGCUAGAUAAUCUAAGGUAGAGAAGCUGGGAUAGCAAAUAUAGAGUAGUCAUGUUGUCUUUGUGUAGCCUAUUAAGUAAAUAACUUUACUUGUACAUCACAGCCAAACUAAUAAUUUUGUCGAAAUGAAAGUUGCCAAGCUUCUUUCUUUAGUUAUUCAUGGAAAUGAAAUUUGUCGAGAUUACUUUGUGCGA
Molecule: RNA transcript, 2647 nt
Organism: Fragaria vesca subsp. vesca
Lineage: Eukaryota; Viridiplantae; Streptophyta; Magnoliopsida; Rosales; Rosaceae
Exons: 18
Source: RefSeq, a predicted model, not a curated record